AGUCCCGAGGUGAUGUAUCAUGUUGAAUUGCAAAUUCAAAGGAGCAGCUUUAAAUCCUGCCGGGGCUU
Molecule: transfer RNA, 68 nt
Filed under: Ochotona sp. WJ-2016f
Lineage: Eukaryota; Metazoa; Chordata; Mammalia; Lagomorpha; Ochotonidae
Description: tRNA-Cys
Rfam family: tRNA
About the family: Transfer RNA (tRNA) molecules are approximately 80 nucleotides in length. Their secondary structure includes four short double-helical elements and three loops (D, anti-codon, and T loops).
Source: RNAcentral